Molecule: ribosomal RNA, 173 nt
Filed under: uncultured bacterium
Lineage: Bacteria
Description: partial 16S ribosomal RNA
Rfam family: Bacterial small subunit ribosomal RNA
Source: RNAcentral
CUCCUACGGGAGGGCAGCAGUAGGGAAUCUUGCGCAAUGGGCGAAAGCCUGACGCAGCAACGCCGCGUGGGGGAGGAAGGGCCUUCGGGUUGUAAACUCCUUUUAGUGGGAACGAAAUUGACGGUACCCACAGAAAAGCCCGGCUAACUACGUGCCAGCAGCCGCGGUAAUUC